This 406-nucleotide ribosomal RNA is filed under the name uncultured bacterium. RNAcentral's name for it is "partial 16S ribosomal RNA". It matches the Rfam family "Bacterial small subunit ribosomal RNA", at positions 29 to 526 of the family's 1533-position model. The record is from RNAcentral.
AUUGAACGCUGGCGGCAGGCCUAAAACAUGCAAGUCGAACGAGUGGCGGACGGGUGAGUAAUGUCCGGGAAACUGCCCGAUGGAGGUGGAUAACUACUGGAAACGGUAGCUAAUACUGCAUACCAGUGGAUGUGCCAAGAUGGGAUUAGCUAGUAGGUGGGGGAACGGCUCACCAGGGCGACGAUCCCUAGCGGGUCUGAGAGGAUGAACAGCCACACGGGAACUGAGACACGGUCCAGACUCCUACGGGAGGCAGCAGUGGGGAAUAUUGCACAAUGGGCGCAAGCCUGAUGCAGCCAUGCCGCGUGUGUGAAGAAGGCCUUCGGGUUGUAAAGUACUUUCAGCGAGGAGGCGUUACUCACAGAAGAAGCACCGGCUAACUCCGUGCCAGCAGCCGCGGUAAUAC